RNAcentral lists this ribosomal RNA (465 nucleotides) under uncultured bacterium. Its description in RNAcentral is "partial 16S ribosomal RNA". It matches the Rfam family "Bacterial small subunit ribosomal RNA", at positions 338 to 795 of the family's 1533-position model. The record is from RNAcentral.
CCUACGUGAGGCAGCAGUAGGGAAUCUUCCACAAUGGGCGAAAGCCUGAUGGAGCAACGCCGCGUGGGUGAAGAAGGUCUUCGGAUCGUAAAACCCUGUUGUUAGAGAAGAAAGUGCGUGAGUGUAACUGUUCACGUUUCGACGGUAUCUAACCAGAAAGCCACGGCUAACUACGUGCCAGCAGCCGCGGUAAUACGUAGGUGGCAAGCGUUAUCCGGAUUUAUUGGGCGUAAAGGGAACGCAGGCGGUCUUUUAAGUCUGAUGUGAAAGCCUUCGGCUUAACCGGAGUAGUGCAUUGGAAGCUGGGAGACUUGAGUGCAGAAGAGGAGAGUGGAACUCCAUGUGUAGCGGUGAAAUGCGUAGAUAUAUGGAAGAACACCAGUGGCGAAAGCGGCUCUCUGGUCUGUAACUGACGCUGAGGUUCGAAAGCGUGGGUAGCAAACAGGAUUAGAUACCCGUGUAGUC